RNAcentral lists this ribosomal RNA (253 nucleotides) under uncultured bacterium. Its description in RNAcentral is "partial 16S ribosomal RNA". It matches the Rfam family "Bacterial small subunit ribosomal RNA", at positions 524 to 776 of the family's 1533-position model. The record is from RNAcentral.
UACGGAGGGUGCAAGCGUUAUCCGGAUUUACUGGGCUUAAAGGGUGCGUAGGCGGGCUUUUAAGUCAGCGGUGAAAGCUUCGAGCUUAACUCGGAAAUUGCCGUUGAUACUAUUAGUCUUGAAUUAAGUUGAGGUGGGCGGAAUAUGUCAUGUAGCGGUGAAAUGCUUAGAUAUGACAUAGAACACCGAUUGCGAAGGCAGCUCGCUAAACUUAUAUUGACGCUGAGGCACGAAAGCGUGGGGAGCAAACAGG